AUCUAAAUAGCUUAUAAAGAGUAUAAUAUUGAAGAUAUUAAGGAAAUUAAUAAAUUUUUAGAUA
This 64-nucleotide transfer RNA is filed under the name Cricula trifenestrata. RNAcentral's name for it is "tRNA-Phe". Lineage: Eukaryota; Metazoa; Arthropoda; Insecta; Lepidoptera; Saturniidae. The record is from RNAcentral.